Paramuricea clavata is the source of this 423-nucleotide non-coding RNA. The record is from the annotation of a GenBank genome assembly. Lineage: Eukaryota; Metazoa; Cnidaria; Anthozoa; Malacalcyonacea; Plexauridae.
ACUGGGAACGGCAAGGUAGAAGACCAAAUUGCUUACAUUUUUGUAUUCGAACCAAAGCAUAUAUUACUAUUCACUAAACUCUAUUUGCCUCUUAAAAAUACUUGUCUUAUACUCUUAAACAAACACUAUAGAAAUAGUGAAAUAAAACACCCGAACUUUGAACAUUUUAAUUGUUGGCGUGGUUACGAGCCGUGAAAUGAUGUUAAUAGUAACGUCGCGGUUUGAACUUACAGUAAGACCUACCAGAAUGCUCAAGGGAAUACAAUUUAUAGUCGCCUUGUUGAUGGGCGUGAUCACGCCUUCACUGACGUUGCCGCUGUAUUUGUCUAGCUCACUAUUAUUUGGUAACAGCUACAGUAUUAACAGAGCAAAAAGGUUAAGUGGAAAACGCGGACAUGCGGACACGCGGACAUGCGGACACGC